AUGAACGCUAGCGGCAGGCUUAACACAUGCAAGUCGAGGGGCAACAGAGAUAGCAAUAUUUGCUGGCGACCGGCGCACGGGUGAGUAACGCGUAUGCAACCUACCUCUAACCGGGGGAUAGCCCAUGGAAACGUGGAUUAAUACCCCAUAAUACUAACGAACGGCAUCGUUUGUUAAUUAAAACUCCGGUGGUAAGAGAUGGGCAUGCGUGCCAUUAGCUAGUUGGUGAGGUAACGGCUCACCAAGGCAAUGAUGGCUAGGGGGUCUUAAAGGAUAAUCCCCCACACUGGUACUGAGACACGGACCAGACUCCUACGGGAGGCAGCAGUGAGGAAUAUUGGUCAAUGGGCGCGAGCCUGAACCAGCCAUGCCGCGUGCAGGAUGAAGGCCCUAUGGGUCGUAAACUGCUUUUGUGUGAGAAGAAACCUAUCUACGUGUAGAUAGCUGACAGUACCAUACGAAUAAGCAUCGGCUAACUCCGU
RNAcentral lists this ribosomal RNA (482 nucleotides) under uncultured bacterium. Its description in RNAcentral is "bacterial SSU rRNA". It matches the Rfam family "Bacterial small subunit ribosomal RNA", at positions 29 to 506 of the family's 1533-position model. The record is from RNAcentral.